UACGUAGGGCGCAAGCGUUGUCCGGAAUUAUUGGGCGUAAAGAGCUCGUAGGCGGUUUGUCGCGUCUGCUGUGAAAACCUAAGGCUCAACCUUGGGCUUGCAGUGGGUACGGGCAGACUAGAGUGCGGUAGGGGAGACUGGAAUUCCUGGUGUAGCGGUGAAAUGCGCAGAUAUCAGGAGGAACACCGAUGGCGAAGGCAGGUCUCUGGGCCACUACUGACGCUGAGAAGCGAAAGCAUGGGGAGCGAACAGG
RNAcentral lists this ribosomal RNA (253 nucleotides) under uncultured bacterium. RNAcentral describes it as "partial 16S ribosomal RNA". It matches the Rfam family "Bacterial small subunit ribosomal RNA", at positions 524 to 776 of the family's 1533-position model. The record is from RNAcentral.